RNAcentral lists this ribosomal RNA (254 nucleotides) under uncultured bacterium. Its description in RNAcentral is "partial 16S ribosomal RNA". It matches the Rfam family "Bacterial small subunit ribosomal RNA", at positions 524 to 776 of the family's 1533-position model. The record is from RNAcentral.
CACGUAGGGCGCAAGCGUUUGUCCGGAAUUAUUGGGCGUAAAGAGCGCGUAGGCGGUCCGGUAAGUCGGUUGUGAAAGUCGGGGGCUCAACCCUCGGAUGCCGAUCGAUACUGUCGGGCUAGAGUCCGGAAGAGGCGAGUGGAAUUCCUGGUGUAGCGGUGAAAUGCGCAGAUAUCAGGAGGAACACCAACGGCGAAGGCAGCUCGCUGGGACGGUACUGACGCUGAGACGCGAAAGCGUGGGGAGCGAACAGG